RNAcentral lists this transfer RNA (74 nucleotides) under Pseudopyrenochaeta lycopersici CRA-PAV_ER 1211. RNAcentral's name for it is "tRNA-Tyr (GTA) (tRNA-Tyr-GTA-4-1)". It matches the Rfam family "tRNA". From Rfam's summary of the family: Transfer RNA (tRNA) molecules are approximately 80 nucleotides in length. Lineage: Eukaryota; Fungi; Ascomycota; Dothideomycetes; Pleosporales; Pseudopyrenochaetaceae. The record is from RNAcentral.
GCUUCCUUGGUGUAGUUGGUUAUCACGUGGGUCAGUAUAUCCCAAGGCCGCCAGUUCGAGUCUGGCAGGGAGCA